CAGGCGCCUGCUACGUGAUUUGCUCGAGACGGAAGAGACCUAUAUAAAGGAAAUGAAGGGCAUCAUUGAUGGCUACAUCACUCCAAUGGAUUUUAUUUGGCUAAAGCAUCUGAUUCCAGAUAUUUUGCAGAACAACAAGGACUUUCUUUUUGGGAACAUUCAGGAGCUUUACGAAUUUCACAACAGGACUUUUCUAAAAGAAUUGGAAAAGUGUGCAGAAAACCCUAAACUUCUGGCAUGUUGUUUUCUCAACAGA
Octodon degus (degu) is the source of this 256-nucleotide long non-coding RNA. RefSeq lists it as uncharacterized. The record is from RefSeq and is a predicted model, not a curated record. Lineage: Eukaryota; Metazoa; Chordata; Mammalia; Rodentia; Octodontidae. The transcript is spliced from 3 exons.